UGGAAGAGAAAUGGCCAAAGGUUGUUCAAUGAUAAUGAAAUAAUUUUCAGUAAUGCCAAAAGUAUGCAUGUAGGAAGGAUUUAGAAACCAUCUAGAUGGAACAGUAGCAACAAUAGUUGCUUGAUCGAACAUGCGGGUUAUAUUCUAACAUAUAAGAUUUAAUUCAAAUUACCAAUAGUAAUUCGAGAUGGCGAAAAAGAAACAACAGUGUAAGCAGGACCACGUGAAGUUAUACUGAGCCCAACGUUAUAAACAGUACCGUCGUUCAUCACGUGAGGAUGAGAACCUACGUAUAUUUGAAGAAACGAUAAAAUCUUUUUAUGCCUCUGACGUCACUUACUCUACCCUUGGUUUCCAAGGUUUCUGGAUCGAUCCGAUGGAUUAUGGGAGAUUCUGUGAACGUGUAAUACUCGUCACCAAGUGGA
Molecule: long non-coding RNA, 425 nt
Organism: Vespa crabro (European hornet)
Lineage: Eukaryota; Metazoa; Arthropoda; Insecta; Hymenoptera; Vespidae
Exons: 3
Source: RefSeq, a predicted model, not a curated record